RNAcentral lists this long non-coding RNA (294 nucleotides) under Homo sapiens (human). RNAcentral describes it as "LHRI_LNC668.1". Lineage: Eukaryota; Metazoa; Chordata; Mammalia; Primates; Hominidae. The record is from RNAcentral.
AGGCCAUCUCCAGGCCUUCAGCCCCGAGUUUAGAUAUCUGGGCAGGCUUUGUGGAUGGGCAAGCAUACAGGGAGCCCAAAUGUGGAAGGUAGGUUUUUUCAGGUCAGGUGGAACUGUUAACACUGAAGCCUAUUUGGGUAAGAAGCAGAGCCUAGCUAGUACCUAAUGGAGAUUCAGGGGCCAGGAGUAUCGGGGAGGAAACAUUUCCUAACAGAGAGGUAAAAUAGCCAAGAGGAGUUUCUAUGUAUUCUGAAAUCAGGCAAUGGAAAGUAUUUGCAGAAAAGCAAUGUAGGG